GUUUUGAUGCGCUGCAAUAUAACUUUAUUUCCUUACUUUAGAACAUCGGAUUGAAUCUUUGAAAACAAAAAAUGACUUCUCAUUUUUCUGACACUUGGUAAAUACAUAUCAUAGUUCGAUUUAUAAAAAUUUUGUUUUUUUUUCUUCAGGUCCUUGUGAAUGACACGAACGUUUAUCAAUAGACUUUAUUUUCGUAGCUUCCGGCUUUUCCCGCGUACUUGCCACCGGAUUUCAAGACUAAACCGCUGAGGGCUUUCUGGAUUUGCUCCAAUAGAGAGUAGAGCGUAUUGAGGGCGUCGCAGAGAAGGUUGGUUAGGUCAGCGUGUCCCUUGUAGCCGGCACCUGCAGAAUAGCCGCCAGAGUAGCCGCCAGAGUAGCCGCCAGGGUAGCCGCCAGAGUAGCCGCCCGCUCCCGCGUAGUCUCUGUAUGUUCGGGACUGGUCGUAGUCGCCUGCUGGUGGAACGUAGUCGCCUGCUGGUGGAGCGUAGUCGCCUGCUGGUGGAACGUAGUCGCCUCCUGGUGGCACGUAGUCGCCUCCUGGUGGCACG
Molecule: non-coding RNA, 548 nt
Organism: Biomphalaria pfeifferi
Lineage: Eukaryota; Metazoa; Mollusca; Gastropoda; Planorbidae
Source: the annotation of a GenBank genome assembly